RNAcentral lists this ribosomal RNA (253 nucleotides) under uncultured bacterium. RNAcentral describes it as "partial 16S ribosomal RNA". It matches the Rfam family "Bacterial small subunit ribosomal RNA", at positions 524 to 776 of the family's 1533-position model. The record is from RNAcentral.
UACGUAGGGAGCUAGCGUUGUCCGGAAUCAUUGGGCGUAAAGCGCGCGUAGGCGGCCCGGUAAGUCCGCUGUGAAAGUCAAAGGCUCAACCUUUGAAUGUCAGCGGAUACUGCCGGGCUAGAGUCCGGAAGAGGCGAGUGGAACUCCUGGUGUAGCGGUGGAAUGCGCAGAUAUCAGGAAGAACACCAAUGGCGAAGGCAGCUCGCUGGAACGGUACUGACGCUGAGGCGCGAAAGCGUGGGGAGCGAACAGG